GGCCGUAUAUCGCGCAGUAUGAUCUAGCAUGCCGCGUGAGCGAUGAAGGCCUUAGGGUUGUAAAGCUCUUUCAGUGGGGAAGAUAAUGACUGUACCCACAGAAGAAGCCCCGGCUAACUCCGUGCCAGCAGCCGCGGUAAU
This 141-nucleotide ribosomal RNA is filed under the name uncultured freshwater bacterium. RNAcentral's name for it is "partial 16S ribosomal RNA". It matches the Rfam family "Bacterial small subunit ribosomal RNA", at positions 367 to 524 of the family's 1533-position model. The record is from RNAcentral.